Gavialis gangeticus (Gharial) is the source of this 1868-nucleotide long non-coding RNA. RefSeq lists it as uncharacterized. The record is from RefSeq and is a predicted model, not a curated record. The transcript has 3 exons. Lineage: Eukaryota; Metazoa; Chordata; Crocodylia; Gavialidae.
CCUUGUUUUGGACUCAGUUUGUUACUGUCCUACCUUUGCACUCCUUGCAGCUGGGGCAGUGGCACCUUUCUGUUAUUACCCCUGCCUCCAUUGUCUUGAGCCAGUGCAGUAGUGAAAUGGCUGUUGAAGUAUUAUAUAGUAUGGUCUAUGGUACACUAUAUGUUACACCUUAGCUGCAUCACCUAAGGAUCAGUUGGCACCGUAUCCUUUUGGGGUACAGCCUUUUGCUCUACAGCAUUUUUCCUACCACUCUCUGGCCCCUUACUCUUUUGACUGCAGUAAGAGGCCAAAAACUCUGUCUAUUUGCAUUUCUUUACUUUAAAAUUUCUUAAUGUAGGAGAAGUAAGUAAUGUAGCUAUUUAAUCCCUACUGUAUCUCUGCAAUAUCAGAUGUCUUGGAGCCACCCAUUGGAAAGUUGAGCCUUCUUUAAUGAACCUAAAAAGUGCCACACUCAGUCAGACCGAUGGCCUGUCUAGGCCCAACUUUCCAGCGUCUUUAGUAUGAAAAGUAUCCCUAAUCAAAAGUUAACUUCUAGCCUUCUUUGUCUCCUGUCAUCUUAAAUUAUAUCCACAGUAAUCAGAUAUGUGGUCUUUAAAACCAUGACCUCAUAGGUAUUUUUGUUAGAACCACAUUCCUGGACUAUGUUAUAGAUUAAUUUCUUGGCAAACAGUUCUCAGGGGGAAAAAAAGUCAUUGUCCCUGUUGAUCAAGAGAAUCAUGCCAGAAUCUCCAGUGCCAACAAUUGUUUAAAUGUAAUUAUAGGUAACAUAAUUCUAAGCCAGUUUGUGCAGAGGUAAGCUAUCCUAUAAAGGUGACAUGUAUCAUGGCAUCCCUGAAACUAUACCCUGUGGCUGCCUAUUCACAUGCUCUUUGGUGUUCUAAUUAGACUGCUGCAGUGUCAAUAUAGUGUCACAUGUAUUAAGCCCCGAUACAUUUUUAAAUGGCCACAGGGUGCUUUAACUAAACCUCAUCGACUGAGGUUUGAAUAAAGCAUCCUGCAGACAUUUUUAAGCAUGCUGGGGCUUAAUACAUGUAACAGUGAGACAUUUUAAUUAGAGCGGCUGCCCAAGAACUGUUCUAAUGAAAAUGUGCCUUCCCACAUCAGAGUACAUGUAUAAGCAGCCAUCAUGUUCUGCCUAGCACUCUAAAAGUUUAUAAGGAAAGACAAUCAGAAGGUGAUACCAACAAGCAUAAAAGGUUUGGGGUGAAGCACUCAAUGAUUUCUAAUAGCUCCUUCAAUUGGAAUCCAAUGAAUAGGGAUGGGAAAUGUCUCUUCUGCCUUAAGAGCCCUUUCAUGUGGAGUCCACCUGGGCUCAGCUGCAUCUCUUGUCCUUUUCCAUGUAUAAAUGAGCCUCACUGGAGAUGCCAGGAGAUUGGUGGAACCAAUAUGUUGUCCAUCAAUAUGCUGAUGACACCUGGUUUUACAUCUCAUUUUCAGCAGACAGAAACAGCAGCAAUUGCCAGUGCCUGUAAGAGAUAAGCAUAUGGUUGAGAGGCAACUGACUCAAGAUUAAUCCAGUUGUCUGGAUGUGUGAUUUUGUGUGUGAACACAAUACCACUGAUCCUCCCAAAGCCAUCAUCCGUUCAGCAAUCUUCCCACUAAAGAGGCCCAGUACUGAAUUGGAAGGAACUGUAACUACUCCAGUCAUUAGGGGCACCCACACUGACCCCAGGAAUAGAGCUGACCGGCUCAAGGGGGUUCCAGGCCUAGGGCCCAAGCUGACUGACCAUCCUUCCCCAAGGAGCAAGGGGGAUACAGUCUAAGGCACAAGGAAGCGGCGAUACCAUAGAGCACUCAUGAGGAACAUCCACACUGGAGGGGCGGCCAUUUCAAGACCUGGCAUCCCACCAGAGGCUGGUGUAGGGGAG